GUUCACACCUCUCUCUACCUACCCUUCAUCUCCUUGACGAUUUAUUUUAAAUUCUGAGGGGAGCAAAGAAGUUAAUGGUUUUAAGGAUUUUUUUUUAUCUGUGCACAACUUUUCUACCAGAAGACUUACUCAGAUUUUUAAGUAUACCACCUUUUCUGAAAGGAAAUCGGUGGGGAGGUCCUUAUAGUAAUAAGGAGGUCAUUUUUCAAUUUUUUUCAAGAGUUUUCUCAUCGAAUAAGAAAAACCGAAAAAAAAAAAACGGGAAAAUAUAAGAAAUGUAAGUAUUAGUUAAAAUGU
Molecule: non-coding RNA, 297 nt
Organism: Cinara cedri
Lineage: Eukaryota; Metazoa; Arthropoda; Insecta; Hemiptera; Aphididae
Source: the annotation of a GenBank genome assembly